AACGAACGCUGGCGGCGUGCCUAACACAUGCAAGUCGAACGCGAAAAGCAGUAAUGCUGAGUAGAGUGGCGCACGGGUGAGUAACACGUAACUGACAUGUCCUAGAGACAAGGAUAACCGUUCGAAAGGAUGGCUAAUACUUGGUAAGCCCACGGAUUAGGAUCUGAGGGAAAAGGAUCGGGGCCUUUCGAGGCCGAUCGCUUUAGGAGUGGGUUGCGGCCCAUCAGGUAGUUGGCGGGGUAAAAGCCACCAAGCCUAAGACGGGUAGCUGGUCUGAGAGGAUGAUCAGCCACACUGGAACUGAGACACGGUCCAGACUCCUACGGGAGGCAGCAGUGGGGAAUCUUGCGCAAUGGCAGAAAUGCUGACGCAGCAACGCCGCGUGGGUGAUGAAGGUCUUCGGAUCGUAAAGCCCUGUCGAAGGGGAAGAUGCUUGUGCAUGUUAACAGUAUGCAUAGGUGACGGUACCCUUA
Molecule: ribosomal RNA, 473 nt
Filed under: uncultured bacterium
Lineage: Bacteria
Description: bacterial SSU rRNA
Rfam family: Bacterial small subunit ribosomal RNA
Source: RNAcentral